This 3480-nucleotide long non-coding RNA is filed under the name Vulpes vulpes (red fox). RNAcentral's name for it is "lncRNA (ENSVVUG00000015433.1)". Lineage: Eukaryota; Metazoa; Chordata; Mammalia; Carnivora; Canidae. The record is from RNAcentral.
CAAAUUAUCAUUCAUCCACCACCCCUCCCCCCCGCCCUUUUUCAGAUANGAUACAAGAGUAUAUUAUCUUUUGAAUGUUCAUGGGAUCUGACCUACAGUCCGGGAGCCCAGGCCCCUGCAUGAUUUUGGAAGGAGGAACCGUGGAUCCCCACGUGUGGAGGACCCGACCUGGACCCGAGCUGGGGGGCCAGACCAGAUGGAAGGAUGGGAACAGGGUCAGGUAGCUGACGAGGCACAGAUGAAGGGACACAUGCUCUCUUCGCAGAGAGCCUGCCAGAGACAGAACUCGGAGAGACAAAGGACAAAGGGGAGAGGGGUCGGCAGAGAUCCAGAGAGGGACACAAAGAGAAAAACGGGACAGGGACAGAGGACAAAAACAGAUAAAGGGGCAGAGGUAAAGAGCAAAUCCUCAGGACAGGCAUCCACGGAGACCCAGAGGGAGACGACCGUGCCAUUCAGAGAGACGAGAGAGCAGGACAGAGAUAGAGGCGGGGGCACGUACCUGGGCAGGGGGCUAGCUUCUCGCUGUCCUGCCCAUGCCAAGCAGGGAUUCUUUCCGGCUUCAGGACAGGGGGCUGGGGAGGGGCAUGGGCCGUGAGGCCUCUUCCAGCCUGAUGUCCCUCCUGGCUGAGUCCCCGACUGUCCGCUCAGCACCUACAGGGCCCUCCAGGCUGCUGAGUCCCCAGCUGGCUCAACCUGGCAGCCUGGGUGCUCUGGAGGCUCCAGCUCCAGGGUCCUUGGGCUCCAGGACUGGUCUGCUAGGGGUGGGGAGGGAGGGAGAAAGGCGCCUGGUACACAGGGCGGGGCAGGAAUUCCCUCCAGAGCCACCCAAACCCAAAAGUUUCUUUCUUAUUUGUUCCUUUGAGAAUGUCUGUCGCAACCUGUUAUUCAGGUUACGGAGCUGUGGGCCAAAGGCACAGGAAGAAAGGUCCCACUGCCUUGCACGCUGGCUCCACCCACCCAGGAGCUGGGACGUUGGUUUCUUCCUGUUUCCUGGAGUCCUCUAUACUCCCAUGCCUUUGGACUCAACUAUGACUUGUCCCAGAACCAAGACAGCUGGAGAGAGGAUUACUCCCUGUCCAGGCGAGGAAGGUAUAGGAAAGCAUCUUGGUGGAACAGGAGGAAGCUGAAGCCUGGAGGGGGUGAGUCUCACAGCUGUGGUAGCAGAGCCGAGAGUCACACCUCAGCUGCAGACAGAAGAUGCAUGACAACCGUGGCAGCUGGUGGGCCUGAGGCUGACCCACGCUCACCAGAUUCCAACAGGGAAGGGCCUAGGUCCAAGCGAGUUCUGUGUGCCUAGAAGUAAGGCUGGACUCUUGAAAAACUAGGAACAAAAGGAUAAUCCUUCACCGAGGAAGGGUCCUAUCCCCAGGCCACUGAGGGCUCACAUUUUCCUUCAUUCGAGCAUUGAGCUUUGGGGCAGGGAUGUGCAGCCACUCUGUGACCCCCAUCCAUGGCCGACCUCAGGAAGUCAGCACAGUGCUUCUCCUGGCCAAGAACAGAAGAGGGCUCAGACUCUCUCCCACCAGUCUCUUGCGGCUGGCCCAUGAGAUCUGUCAUCCUUAGAGUGGGGCCUUCUCUGUGUGGGGCAAGGGGCUGGGUGGACUUGGAGCUGGGGCCUCUUCAUAGCAUUAGCUUUUUUGGGACCAGAGGAAACAUGGCAGAGGAAAGAGCAUGUGCAGAGGCUCAGAGGAGAGGCAGAAUGGGAAACUCUGAAGGUAGAGACCAAAGUGAAGGGGGGAAGGGGACUGUUCAUUAGGGUCCUAAGGACUGGGUUAACAUAAUGACUGUGGGCUUUGUUGUGAGGUGAUGGGGGAGCCACAGGGAGAAUUAAGCAGGGCCAGUGAUAAAACUUCAGCUCAGUGUGGAGACAGUGGUACCUCCUCCAAGAAGCCUUCCCCGGCCUUUGGCUCCUCCAUUACGGAAUCCUUCCAUUAAGGCACCUUGUCAUGCCUCAUGCUCAGCCUAAUGUGGGGGCCUGAGAGCCUUCUUCAUGCACGGCCCGGACGCUAGCACCACAUAGUACAUAGUAGGUGUGCAGAAACCAAACAGGUUUCUUCCUUUUUGGGAAAGAAACUAAGGGAGAAAAGGCCCCAGACACACCAUGGAUGCUCCUUCCAUCGGAGGGGUGUCUUCCCUCACCCCCCUGCGCCCCAUGGUCUUCUCCAAAGUGAACUCCCUCCAAAGAGGACAGGCUCAGACUCUAGCCUCUUCUGGCUAAAUGCAAGCUCAGGCCAUUUUCCUCGUCAGCCCUGGAAGUCCUGCGGACUUAAAGACAUCUCCACAGGUGGCACGGGGUAGGAGGGGGGCAUUUACUCUUCCAUGGGCUUCUUUCUGGCCCCCCCCACCCCGUGCAGGUGGGAUGCCCGGCGCAGGAGGCAGAAGCUGCAGAGGGGCCACAGGGUGUGGGGACACUCUGUGCACCAGGGACACUAAGGCAGAGGGACACAACAGAACGGAAAAGCAGCAGAAACACUAGGACACAGUGACAGACAUACUGACGGAUGCACAUGUGCGCUGGCAUGUGACCCUGCUUAUGUGCAUGCAUGUGCAUGCGCACACACACAUGGGAGUCAGGUACUGAGUGGGACCAGGGGACAUGUGUGACCCUGCCCAGACCCAGUUGUCACCUGCCUUGAGCUUCCAGUCGACCCUCAAGGCCAUCCUGCAUCCUGACCACAAGGCCCAGGCCCAGAAUCAGAAGAACCAGGGGCUGCCUUUCAUUCUCUAAACGGUCCUUCUGGUCAACCCCUGGUAUUUAGGGGCAAUUAACUGAUCAUGUCACCAGUACAGAGGGACAGAAACUGCAAAUGAAUCUGUAAACAAUAAGGCUGGUGGCCCGAACAAUUUGUUUCAGUGACAUUUAUUUUAGAAGGAAAAAAAGCCCGUGAUUCCCAUUUUGGCCUGUUUUGAUUUUAUUUAUUGGUUUGAAUGGCUUUCUCCAGCCCUGGCCAAUUGUAGAAUUACUGGGCCAUGCAGAGCCACCCAACAGGAGAUUCAAGAAGUUGUGAGAGGCACAGGAUUCUGAGGCUUUUUACUCUUCAAGUGCCUGGGAUGUUUCCCAGAACAAGACAAAAAAAAAAAAAACAAAAAACAAAAAACAAACAAAACAAAACACAUGUACCAGCUGCUGCCUUGAAGCUUCCUUAUUUUAAUUAAUUUAAUCAUCAGCAGCUUAAUGAAGAGUUUGGGGAAACUAAGGCACAGAGUGAGAGGUCAUAGCUGGUGAAAGGCAGAGGAAGAAAAGGAUACCAGAGAGGAGCCCAGGAGUCUGCACUCUUAACCACGGUGUCCAACUCCUCUAGACUAGGGCUGGGCAGUUUUCUGAAAAGGACCAGAAGAAAUAUUUUGGGUUUUCUGGGCUGUAUGUUCUCAGUCACAGCUACUCAGCUCUGCCAUCAUAGUGGGAAAGGAGCAGAAGUAGGAGUAUGUAAAUGAAUGAAUGUGGCUACGUUCUAAUAAAACUUAUUUAUAAAAACA